AAACAAUGAUUCAUUCUAAAGUGUGCAAAAGUUGCUCUUGAGUAUACAUCAAUCUCCAACUUAAAUGAGCAUGCAAAGAUUCUGGUGUUCCAAGAUCCAACAUGGAAUCUGGGCUGGCUGAACUACCCUGAUAUUUGGUAACAAAUACUGCCAGACUUCCUGAGCUUCUCCAGCAAUCUGACUUAGUUAUUUCAAUUGGACACAGUGUAAGUCGUCAACAUGCCUUAUAAACAAGGCAUGCAGCACAGAUGUGGAUAUUGAGACUCGCUUUGCGAUUGUCAGUGCGGCUGAAUUGCUACCUGCACACUUUUAAGAUGCUACCAGACCUGCUGAGUUUCUCCAGCAAUUUCUGUUUUUGUUUCAUAUCUCCAGCAUCCCUACUGAAGACCAGACAUGCAGCAUUCAAGUUGGAUGAGGUAGACCAAUACAGGAAAUCCAGAUAUGUCCUCAGCAAAGCCAUCGGGGAUGCCAAGAAGCAGUACCAGACCAAGUUAAAUGCCCAAACCUACUAAACAGACUGCUGCCACCUAUGGAAAGGCCUGAACAGCAUUAUGGGAUACAUAAUGAAGCUAAGCAAGAUAGCAGACAAAGACACAUCUCUCCCUGACACGCUCAAUGUUUUUUUUCUGUCAACAUGGUGGCAGAGUAGGACGCGCCGGUUGCAGCUCCUCUGCUCUCUAGUCCCUUUCGCUUUCCCUUUUUUCUCCUCUUCGUAGCUUUUCUUUACUUCUCCCCAUCACCCUCCCUGGACAGUGAAGUUGAGGAAUGGAGUGAACCGGCCAUGUCCUGCGGCGGAGCGAUUGGGCAAUUCCCGGAGCAGUGGCGGUUCGAGUCCUGGAUGGAGGCCGGCACGUGGCCUAGUGCUCUGGGGCCUGCAGGCAUGGACUGGAACUUAAGUACAUAUGGCCACUUAUUAUCAUUCUGGAGUUUUUCACUGUUUCAUGCUAAUCUAUAUUCCUUUUUACUCUGUAACAACAUUACAUUUUUUUUACUCUGUAAGAUUCGUACCUAGGUACUUGUACCUAAGAUGGCGCUAUUAAAGCCAGCCAUUGUAAAAACUUUUCACAGUACUCCUGUACUUCUGUACUGGAGCACAUGUUACAAUAAAGGAUACUCUAUUCUAUGCUCAGUUUUAGCAGAAUGCCAGCGGUGCAUUGACGCCUGCCCCAACAGCCCUAGACACACCUGUUCUCUCAGUCACCACUUCAGAUGUCAGAUCAGUCUUCCUGGGAGUCAACCCAAGGAAAGCGAUGGGCCCGGAUGGUGUUCCUGGCCAAGCACUCAACACCAUUAUCCCCUCCAGACUGAUCUCAAAACUGCGUGACCUUGGUCUUGGCUCCACCCUCUGCAAUUGGAUCCUCAGCUUUUUGACUAAAAACACAAUCAGUGACGAUAGGUAACUGCACCUCCUCCACAAUAACACUCAACACUGGAGCCACCCAAGGAUGUGUCCUUAGCCCCCUAAAGUACUCCCUGUACACCCAAGACUGUGUUGCCAAAUUACGAGCAAACGCCAUCUACAAGUUCGCUGACGACACCAGUGUAGUAGGACGGAUAUCUGACAACGAUGAGUCAAAAUACAGAAGGGAGAUAAAGGGCUUGGUGAUGUGGUGCAAUGAGAACAACCUCUCUCUCAAUGUCAGCAAAACUAAAUAACCGAUCAUUGAUUUUAGAAAGAAAGGAGGAGAAUACACCCCUAUCCACAUCAAUGGAACCGAGGUUGAGAGGGUGGAGAGCAUCAAGUUCCUCAGAGUGACGAUAACCGACAACCUGUCCUGGACUUCCCACGUAGAUGCAAUGGUCAAGAAGGCACAAGAAUGCCUCUUCUUCCUCAGGCAGGUAUGGAAAUUUGGCAUGUCCAUGAGGACCCUCACCAACUUCUUUAGAUGCACCAUUGAAAGCAUACUGUCUGGAUGCAUAACAGCCUGGUAUGGCAACUGCUCUUCCCAGAACCAUAAGAAACUACGGAAGGUGGUGUGCACAGCCCAGACCAUCACGGAAGCCAGACUUCUAUGCAUGGAUUCCAUCUACACGGUUUGUUGCCAUGGAAAAGCUGCCAACAACAGCAAAGACCCAUUGCACCCCGGUAAUGAUGCCCUACAACCUCUUCCGUCAGGCAGAAGAUACAGAAGCCUGAAUGCACGCACCAGCAGGUUCAGGAACAGCUUUUCUCAGCUGUUAUUAGACUGAUUGAAUAGACUCCCUAGCCUCAAAUAAUGCUGAUCUUGCUAAUGUUGAUCAUGCCUAGCGCCCUGUGCAAUGUGACCUGUAUGCCUCUAAGACUAUUUACAACCUCUGAUCUGUACAUCCUUGUUUACAGUGAUCUGCCUGUACUUGUAAACAAAGCUUUUCACUGUACUUCGGUACACAUGACAAUCAAUGAGUCAAUAAUCCGCGGUUCUUUUUUUAAUAUCUUUGUUUUCUCAUCAUGUGGUGGAGGGCUAAGAAAUGGAUGGAGGCCAAGAAUAGACCCUCUGGGAAUCCAGAGGUAAUGGCAUGGGAGCCAAAUGAGAAGAAAUUGAAGGCAAUUCUCUGUGGCUGUGAUCAGGUAGGUGAGAAUGGAACACAGCAAUGGCAGUCCCCAUCAGAUGGACAAUGGAGGAAAGGCAUUAGUUAGAGACAAAAAAAAAAUUGCAGAUGCUGGAAUCCAAGGUAGACAAACAGGAGGAUGGAAGAACACAGCAAUCCAGGCAGCACCUGGUGGAAAGGAGCAGUCAAUGUUUCGGGUAUUACCCUUCUUCAGGACUUGGAUUUGGCCAGUAUUCAGCAUUAGAUUUACAGCAUUCUCUCCAAUUAAAUAGUGGAAGGAUCAAAGCCAUUGUCUUCAGCCACAUGUCUGUGCUCUAGCUAUUGAUUCUCUACCCAUUCCUCUUCAGGACCAUUGUCCAAGGCUGAACCAGAUUAUUUGCAACAUUAUCUUAAACUGAGUUUCCAACAUGGGUAAGAUCAUAGAUGGAUAGGGUGGCAAGUGAGCAGGUUGCCAUGUGGUGGAGUGGUAAGGUGGCAGGUGGUUAGAGUAGCAAGUGUAUACAGUAGUAGAUGGAAAUAGUGGCAGGGUGACAGGUAGGUAAGGUAUAGAGUGGUAAGUGAGUUGAGGUGAGCAUGUUGUUCUGUGUUGUAAUUUUACCUGGUUGGUACCCUCUUUUAGGUAUUUCUAGUGUUCUUCUAUACUCCUUGGUGAACCAGGAUUUUCCCAGAAAUUAUGGUAAUGAUAGAAUGAAGAAUGAGUUGGCCAAGAAGUUACUGAUUGUUGGAGAAUGCAAUCUUGCUGCUGCUAUUUGCCUACAGCAGAGCAGAAUGACUUAGUAGGCCACCUCAGAAGGUGGUUUGAAAGUCAACGUUAUUUUAGUGUUAAUGUAGUCAGAACUCAGAUAAGAUAAGAAAUGCAAGUUUUCUUCCCUGAAAGACAUUAAUGAACGAGAUACAAUAAUCCCAGGGUUGGAUAAUCACUAAUAUUUGAUUUUCAUUCAAUUUAUUUAAUUGACUAAAUCUGAGUUCCCCAGCUGCCAUGUUGGGAUGUGAAGCCAUGUUCGUCAAUUAUUAGACCAGGUUCAGUAGCAUAACCAUGAGCUACAGUUCCCUGUUUUACUUUUGUUUUUCCAUGAUUUAAGAUGGCAAGUUUGUUGUGAGGUAGGAGUUAGAGCACAGGAAUAAAAGGCAUGUACUCUUGUGGAAUCUUUCCCUGUAAUUCCUACUGGGAUCUAAACUAUUCACCAUAUCUAUCAAUGACUUUUAUGAAGAAUAGAGUUAUACAUCUAAGAUUACAGUUGACACUGAGCUUGGAGGAGAAGCAAAUUGUGUAAAAAGAAACAAAAAGUUCAAAGUAAACCAAUUAACUGAAUGGCAAAACCAGAAUCCAUGAGCUUUUUCUAAACCUCAUUUAACAGUGCUGUAAAGUUACAUUCCAGAUCAAUGAAGACCUUAAUAAGGAGUAUUCUGUUCGAAGAGUGUGAUUCCUUAAAGAGACACGAGAGGACCUGCAAUUACAAUCAUGUAUGUAAAUAGCUCUGCCAGUGACAGAAAAUGAAAUUGCAAUCAACAUUUGUACUGCAAGCUCAUUUCAAGAAGCCAGAUUGAUGUAUUGUUAACCUGGGUAACAUCUGGGUACCUAGCCUUCAGGAUAAAUAUAAGUCACGAAUUUGAUAGGACUUCAUAGUUUUAUAUUGCCGCUAAGUGCACACUGCAUAAAUGUCACCUGUGUAUCAUAAUAGAUUCUACUAUUAACCCCCUCAACUUAAUAGAAAAGCAUAGUAUGGCAAUGCCCAGAUCACAUGUAACCUCAUUCCUUCAUAUAUGAGUUCAAGUUUUGCUGUAAAUUGCUACGAUGCUAUCAUCUACAAAAAAUAAUCCUUGAGUUUCAGGAAGGAAUGCAAGCUUUGUUGGCUUCUUGCUGUUUUAGAAAAAUGACCUCUGUGAUAACUGCACAAGUAGCAGCUGAGGACCACAUACAUGCCACUUGCUGAAUUUCUGAAGUAGAAUCCUUAUAGAUUCUUCUUAUGUGUCAGCCUGAGCACAGCCUAUCUAUUUUCAAAAUUAAUUAAUCUGUUAGGGCUUCCACUUGUUGAAUGUGAGGCUGGAAUGUAACUACCAAAUUAUUCACAUGUUUGAUUGUUGUCACAUGUACCAAGAAACAGUGAAAAGUGUUUUGCAUGUUACAUAGGAAGAUUGUACUGUACAAAGUGCAUCAGGUUAGCAGAACAGAGUGCAGAAUAUGUGUUACAGCCACAAAGAAGCUGCAGAGAGAGAGAUCAGAAUUAACAUUUGAAAGGUCUGCUCAAAAGUCAGACAACAGCAGGGAAGAAGCUGUUCUUGAAUCUAUUUGUAUGUAUUUUCAAACUUUUAUAUCUUCUGCCUGACGGAAGAGGGUGGAAUAGAGUAUAACUGGGCUGGGAAGGGUCUUUGAUUAUAUUGGUUGCUUUUCUGAGGCAGCAGGAAGUAUAGAUCGAGUCAGUGGAUGGGAGGCUUGGUUUGCGUGAUGGACUGGGCUGUAUUCACGACUCUGUAGUUUCUUGCGGUCUUGGGAAGAGCAGAUGCCAUACCAUGCUGUGUUGCACCCAGAUAGAAUGCUUUCUAUGGUGCAUCUAUAAAAAUUGGUAAGAACCCUGUGGAUGUGCUGAAUUUCCUUAGCCUCCUGAGGAAGUAGAGAUGUUGUUGUGCUUUCUUGACCAGCAUGUCGACAUGGGUGGACCGGGACAAAUAGUUGGUGAUCAUCUCUCCCAGGAACUUGACACUCUCGACAUCUCCACCUCGGCACCAUUGAUGCAAACAGGGGUGUGCCGAUUCCCUCUGCUUCCUGAAGUCACUGACCAGUUCCUUCAUUUUGCUGAUAGUGAUGAAGAGAUUGUUAUCUUUACACCUUGCUGCUAAGCACUCAAUCUCUUUCCUAUAUUCUGUCUCAUUGUUGUUAGAGAUCUGACCUAAAACAGUGGUGUCAUCAGCAAACUUGCAAAUAGAGUUGGAGUGGAAUUUGGUCACAGAGUCAUGAGUUUAGAAGGAGUAUAGUAGAGGGCUGAGUACACAGUUUUGUGGGGUACCAGUGCCAAGGAUAAUGGUGGAAGAGGUGUUGUCUAUUCUUAUUGAUUGCUGUCUAUGGGUCAGGAAGUCAAGGAUCCAGUUACAGAUGGAGGAGCUGAGACCUAGGUCUCAGAGUUCAGGGAUGAGUUUGUUUGGAAUUAUGGUAUUGAAGGUGGAACUGUAGUCAAUAAGUAGGUGCCUGACAUAGGUAUCCAUGUUAUCCAGAUGUUCCAGGGAUGACUGUUGGGCCAGGAAGAUGGCAUCUGUUUUGGACUUGUUGCACCAAUAGGCAAAUUGCAAAGAAUCAAGACAAUUUCAUAGAUUGGAGUUGAUAUAAGCCAUGACUAACCUCUCAAAGCACUUCAUAUUUAUGGAGGUCAGAGCCACUAUGUAGUAGUCGUUGAGGUACACUGCAUGAUUUUUCUUUGGCACCAGAAUGAUGGUGGUCUUCUUGAAGCAGUAGUAAGCAGAAGUUAAAGAUGUUUAUGUGUACUCCCGCCAGCUGCUUUCCAUGGGUUCAUUCUCAAGAAGGACGAUCUAAUGUCAGCAGCAGUGACCAUGGGUACAGGUGCAUCUGAGGCGGUUGGGAAAGUGACAUUGUUUCAUAUAAAUGCUAGAUUUUCUGGCAGCUGUCUUAAUUCAUUUUAUGUAAGUUCAUUGUUUUAUUUAAGCCAGAACAUUGGAAUUCAGAUGCUGAAGAUCUGAAACAAAAAGAGAAAUUGCUGGAGAAAUUCAGCAGGUGUGUCGGCAUCUGUGGAGAGAAAACAGAGUUAAUGUUUCACGUCAGUGACUCUUCUUCAGUUCUGAAGCAACUACUUCUGAACAAUUCUGAAGAAGAGUCACUAGACUUGAAACAUUGUCGCAGCCUUCUCUGCACAGAUACUGACACACCUGCUGAGUUUGUCGAGCAAUUCCUGCAUUUGCCACUAUUCUAGUUCAUUGGAUGAGAAUGGUUAUCCAUUGCCAUUGUGAAUGAUCACAUGUAUAGGUGCCUACUGCACCUCAUGAAGUGUAAAUGCUAAUUGUUAAAUUUAAAAGCAUAGAUUAAUAUUGAGGAGGUUUCCAGUAUACAUCCAGCAGAGUCUGUAGUAUUGUGAUUGUGCUCAAUGCCUCAUCCAAUUCUUCCCUGAGAAAGAACAUUGAUUGCCAUGAGGAAGAAGGAGAGAUAGCUGGGAUAUUACACCUAGCAAAGGGAAACAGCCCAAAUGAGAAGCAGAAGAUCAAGCUUUACUGGCUUCAAAAGCAUUUGCAGACAGCCUGUCAUGGGCACCUUCCCUACUCAUCAAAUUAAGCCAAUCAAUAUCGACAGCAUAUUAAUGCAUCCAAUUUCUUGUUUUCAAUCAUGUUAAUGCUAUACAAUUCUGUACAUUGUAUGUAAAUGGAAAAUGUAAUGAUCAGCAAAUGCUUUGUUUCAAACACUUCCUAACAUUACAACGCAUACCUUGAUGAACUUUUUAAUUCCCCUUAGUGUUAAAGCCAUUUGACUUAAUUUAAAACUCCUUCUGGGGGCAUUCUGAGGCUCAGGUGCACAAGAUAUGGCACUGCAAAAUAUGACUGUGAGUCUCUUAGGAAAGAGGUGGUACUCAAAUGAGGACAGACAUAAUUCUGACCCAUGCAAUUACAAGGUCUUUUCUUGCCAUGUCCUCUUCUUUAUCCAGCCUCCAUCCUUCUAUUCCUUCUGCCUGCAGUUCAGUCUUUGUCCUUCCACAUCCCUCCUCUCUUUCUGUUUACUGGUCCAUCCUCUAUUCUUCCUCGCUUCAUUUAUCUUGUUUCUUUCCACAUCUAGCCUCCCUGUCAUCCAUAUUUCUUUAAUGCCUAGGCUGAUAUCUCAAUGAACUUUGUACCUAACUUGCCAAGUCUGUAAACAAAGUUGAUGUCACAUUUGAUUUCCAAUAUGAGUUUUUGACCAUCUGUCUGCAUUACCACUAUGACCAUCUAUUCCCACUUCUCCCAUUUCCUUACUGUUUCAUACUUGAGGUCAGGCUCUCUCCCUCUGCACUUUCACCUUAAAGCCCUUUCACCAUGAUCUAUUUACUCUUCUUCCCUUUCUCUUUCUCCUCGUCAAUUCGUCAAUCUCCAGCCCCAUUUCUCACUACUUCCUAUGGUGUCAUCUAGAAGUAUUCCCCCUGCUUCUUCUAUUCAUCCAUUCCCACUCUUAGUCCCACUCCAACCACCACUAGAUCUGAUGGCUCCUCUUUCUUCCCCCUUCCACUCACCAAAUCCUACUCCCUUUCUUCUAUGUCUUUUGGAUCAUCUUUUCUACUUACAUCUUCCUUCCUGGUAAAGGCUUCUGUCUGUAUUUCUUAACUCCAAAUCCUUAUGUACCCUUGUUUGCACCUUCAGGGACUCUGCCUGAAAACCCCUAUUCUCAUCUCCUGGUUUAUCAAAUUCCCUUCAAAAGCAUCUUCUAAAAGUUCCUGUUAGCUCAAUACCAACCCCACCAAAAAAAAACACUCAGAUGCAAGUAACACAUAGUCAACAGGUACAUAAAAACUAAAUGAGCACUUUAAUACUUAAGGGACAAGUUUCCAGUUCUAUAUGAGGAAGCUGUUAAAAGGUAUCCAGAAGACCUCCAGGAAAGAGCCAUUGGAGAGGUCAUUUUUAGGAGUAAGAAAGUUGGGAUAGAGCAACUGGGGGACUGAGAAAUGGAAAGAGAAUAGAAGACAUUGGGAACCAAAUGGGAGAUAUGAGGCCAGAGAAGAGGCCUCAAGCUACCAGUUGUCUCAGCAGUAAAAGCCAGGAGGGAUAGAAUUAGAACUUUAAAGUCAACUUAAAAUAAAACUUAAAACCUAACUGCAAACACCCAAAUCAAGGACAGGAAUGAAAAUCUUAUCUGUAGCGUCACCUAGAGAAGAAUGUAACAUGGUGGGACAGCAGUGUCAAUUAGCACUGGAAGGACUGACAAAUGAAUAUUAAUAUCACAGUAAAUACAUAUAUAUAACAUUAAAAAUUAAAUACAUUGCCAAAGGGGUAACUGCUUGUUGUAACAAAAUAUACCUAUACACAGGAUUUAAUACCAGUGAAUCAAUAUAUUUAGCAAAUUGUAGAUAAAUAAUUGUGAAAAGUUGAAUUUAAAAUUUACACACAAGUAAUCAAGAACACUGGCACAAAACCAUUGUUGUACUUGUGUGAUCUGGCAGUGGCCUUGACAGACUUUAAAUUGUCAAACUGUCUAAAUGACGUCCAGUACUAGAUGUGCAGAAAUUCCUCCAAAUAAGUUUUGGUAAGGUGGCAGUCAUUGUCAUUGGAUCCUACCACAGACACUGUUCCCCAGCCAUUGGCUUCAAGUCUCUCAAUGCCAAAUUUCUGGGGGCGGCACGGUGGCUCAGUGGUUACCACUGCUGCCUCACAGCGCCAGGACCCAGGUUCAGUUACCACCCUCCGGCAACUAUCUGUGUCGAGUUUGCACGUUCAUCCUGUGUUGGGUGGGUUUCCUCUGGGUGCUCCGGUUUCCUCCCACAGUCCAAAGAUGUGCAGGCUAGGUGGAUUGGCCAUGCUAAAUUCCCCAUAGUGUUCAGGGAUAUGUAGAUUAGGUGGGUUAAAUGGGGAUGGGUCUGGGUGGGAUGCUCUGAGGGUCGGUGUGGACUUGUUGGGCCGAAGGGCCUGUUUCCACACUGUAGGGAUUCUAUGAUCUAUGAACCACUGUUAAAAAAAAGUGUCACAUUUGACCCCAAAAUGAGUUUUGACCACCUGUGCCACUAUUAAGACUCCCUAUUUCCAACUCGAUAAACAAAAAUCAGACUCUGCCCUGCCUCUAGAUCUGACUACUCCAGAAUACUCUCCACAUUACACUUUCUAUAAAAUUGAGUCAACGUCAAUUCUCCUGCCCAAAUUCUUACUCCCACCAAAUGCCAUUGACCUAUCACCACUAUUAUCGCUGACCCGGAUGGGAUGACGUUUGUAUGUGCAUGUUGGAAAUCCACCUCUGGAGUCUUCUACUUUUCACAUGGUGUACACAAUAAUCUAAGGAACUUUACAAACUCAGGAUCCUGUGCAAUAACUUUAUGAUGCAUACGUCGAUUUACCAACUUAUUUCUGCAUUUGGAACUAUUGGGCAUGUCAGAUUACAUACAUUUUCGAAUACCCAGAGGCGUUUCACACCUCAUGAAAGAUGAUAAGGACCAUUGUAGGAAACACCAUGUGAAAGGUGGGCAUCUAAUGCCUAGCGUUUGAUCUGUUAAUGUUAACCACUUAAGUAGUUAUCAAACUCUUCAAAGUAAUCUAUAUGUAAAUGUUGUCCGAUGUUGAUUGUUAAUUAUCGUACAACUAAUUGAACAGCAUUCGGCUCGGUGCUUUCUUUUUCUGUAGGUGCAAACACGAUAGAUGGAAUGGCCUCCUGCGCCGCGCUAUUUUCAACAUUUUUUAAAUAGCUGAAGAGGAGGUAAUGAAUUGCUCCUUAUGAGAACCAGUAGGUUGUGAAUGGCUUUCUUCUGUGCUGUAGCGAUGAUUCCAUCCUAUUAUGUGACAUCCGUGUUCGAGAUCAUAUUUACUUCUUAAUUAUUAAGCUGUGCACCAAAAUGUGACGCUUUAAGUAAUAUUUCAAACACGUGCACAAUAAACGGCAGAUCUGAUUCA
Long non-coding RNA from Rhincodon typus (whale shark), 10089 nucleotides. RefSeq lists it as uncharacterized. Lineage: Eukaryota; Metazoa; Chordata; Chondrichthyes; Orectolobiformes; Rhincodontidae. The record is from RefSeq and is a predicted model, not a curated record. The transcript is spliced from 4 exons.